AUCCAGCUGACGAGUCACAAAUAGGACUAAAUGCGCAUCCUGGCUGGAU
This is a non-coding RNA of Trichobilharzia regenti, 49 nucleotides long. The record is from Rfam. Lineage: Eukaryota; Metazoa; Platyhelminthes; Trematoda; Strigeidida; Schistosomatidae.